CGAAUAGGCUUAGUUGGUGGGGUUAAGCUACCAGGCGACGAUCGUAAGCGGGUCUGAGAGGAUGAUCGCCACACUUGGAACUGAGACACUUCAGACCCUACGGAGGCAGCAGUGGGGGAAUAUUGACAUGGGCGCAAGCUGAUCCAGCCAUGCGCGUGUGUGAAGAAGGCCUUAUGGUGUAAAGCACUUUAAGCGAGGAGGAGGCUACUUUAGUUAAUACCUAGAGAUAGUGGACGUUACUCGCAGAAUAAGCACCGGGCUAACUCUGUGCCAGCAGCCGCGGUAAUACAGAGGGUGCAAGCGUUAAUCGGAUUUACUGGGCGUAAAGCGCGCGUAGGCGGCUAAUUAAGUCAAAUGUGAAAUCCCCGAGCUUAACUUGGGAAUUGCAUUCGAUACUGGUUAGCUAGAGUGUGGGAGAGGAUGGUAGAAUUCCAGGUGUAGCGGUGAAAUGCGUAGAGAUCUGGAGGAAUACCGAUGGCGAAGGCAGCCAUCUGGCCUAACACUGACGCUGAGGUGCGAAAGCAUGGGGAGCAAACAGGAUUAGAUACCCUGGUAGUCCAUGCCGUAAACGAUGUCUACUAGCCGUUGGGGCCUUUGAGGCUUUAGUGGCGCAGCUAACGCGAUAAGUAGACCGCCUGGGGAGUACGGUCGCAAGACUAAAACUCAAAUGAAUUGACGGGGGCCCGCACAAGCGGUGGAGCAUGUGGUUUAAUUCGAUGCAACGCGAAGAACCUUACCUGGCCUUGACAUAGUAAGAACUUUCCAGAGAUGGAUUGGUGCCUUCGGGAACUUACAUACAGGUGCUGCAUGGCUGUCGUCAGCUCGUGUCGUGAGAUGUUGGGUUAAGUCCCGCAACGAGCGCAACCCUUUUCCUUAUUUGCCAGCGAGUAAUGUCGGGAACUUUAAGGAUACUGCCAGUGACAAACUGGAGGAAGGCGGGGACGACGUCAAGUCAUCAUGGCCCUUACGGCCAGGGCUACACACGUGCUACAAUGGUCGGUACAAAGGGUUGCUACCUAGCGAUAGGAUGCUAAUCUCAAAAAGCCGAUCGUAGUCCGGAUUGGAGUCUGCAACUCGACUCCAUGAAGUCGGAAUCGCUAGUAAUCGCGGAUCAGAAUGCCGCGGUGAAUACGUUCCCGGGCCUUGUACACACCGCCCGUCACACCAUGGGAGUUUGUUGCACCAGAAGUAGCUAGCCUAACUGCAAAGAGGGCGGUACCACGGUGACCCUCUCA
RNAcentral lists this ribosomal RNA (1235 nucleotides) under Acinetobacter sp. Its description in RNAcentral is "bacterial SSU rRNA". It matches the Rfam family "Bacterial small subunit ribosomal RNA", at positions 238 to 1473 of the family's 1533-position model. The record is from RNAcentral. Lineage: Bacteria; Pseudomonadati; Pseudomonadota; Gammaproteobacteria; Moraxellales; Moraxellaceae.